This 1648-nucleotide long non-coding RNA is filed under the name Canis lupus familiaris (dog). RNAcentral describes it as "lncRNA (ENSCAFG00040024505.1)". The record is from RNAcentral. Lineage: Eukaryota; Metazoa; Chordata; Mammalia; Carnivora; Canidae.
GGUUCCUGGGCCCCCUGGGGGUCGGUGGACUGUCUCCCCGGUACAAAGGCGCCGGCACCUUCCGGGGCCCGUCACCCCAGGGGUGGUUUCUGUGCCCGCCCUGGGAGGGUGGCGUUUUGUAGUUCACGUAAACGUGCACUUGGUCUCCCCGCGUGCCUCCCCCGGGACACGCCCCCACCUGCCCGGGCUCCUCCAUGUGUCCUGGGCCCCAGCAGGACUGAGCCCCGGGGCCGGAGCAGGAGUCCACGUCGGGACCAGGGAGGGGGUCCCUCCUCCCUCUCCCUCCUCCUCUGUCCCCACCCGCUUCUCAGCCCCCCCCAGCAAACAUGCACUUGGACCCCAGAUCAGGCCUGUGGCCAGGCCAGCCCACGGCACGGCCAAGCGCCCUCCUGGGCCCGGCUCAGCGACCUCUCCCCAGCGUCCACGUCGGACCCCCCAGGACGAUCACAUAUCCCACCCGUGUGGCCUGAGUAGGUGGGUGCAUGGGGACCGAGAGGGACUCAGCUGCCCACACCCACAGCCAGGAGGGGUCACCACCUGCCUGCCUGGUUCGUGUCCCAGCCUGGCCCUGACGUUGCUCCCACCUCACACUGUGAGGAGAAAGGCCCCCUGCAGGGGUGAGGCCCCCUCCGUGGGUCAGGGCGGAGGUCGCGGGGCCUGGCCACCCUCCCAGGGAUGCCGCGGCUUGUCCCCUGAGGAGAGAGAACAGGUGUGAGUCCAAACUGUCCUGAUAUCAGGCCUCAGGUACAUGGGAGGGUGAUGGGGCCGGGGAGACACUUCCCGGGUGUCCCCGACCGACAGGCACCCAGCCCAGCGCCCGCCAGGGUCAAGGCCACUCCUGACGCCAAGGGAGGGCUCUCACGUUUAGGCGGUGGGACGUGCAAAGGAGUUGCUAGUUAAUGCUGUCGGCGGGUGUCCUGGAAAAUUUGGGAACGGUUUGACCGAGGUCGGCUCUAAUGACAUUCCUGAGGCGCAGGGCAAGGACGAGAGGCUGCGGUCGCACGAAGGACAUGGUGACAUUUCCGUGCAGAGUGAACCCUCCAGCCGCCAGCCUGUGCCCUGGGAGCCCCCGGGUGAAGGCCAGCUGGCUCCCGAGGAUGGUGGGCUGUGUGUGUGCGAGCACACGUGUGCGUGUGUGAGUGGGGGGUGUGAGCAUGUGUCAGCGCGAGCGUGAGCACAGUGUGUGAGUGGGGGGGUGAGUGUGUGAGUGUGAACGUGAGUGUGAGUGGGGGUGUGAGCGUGAGCUCAGUGUGCGUGUGUGAGUGGGGGCUGUGAGCGUGCGUGUGAGUACAUGCACAUUUAUGAGUUCAGGGGUGUAUGAGGAUAUGAGCAUGGGCAUGAGUGCGUACGUGUGUGUUUGUGAAACGUGAGUGUGAGCACACGCGUGCAUCUGUGAGAGUCUUGUCCCCAGCAGGUGUGUCCAUCCCAGCCGUCUCCCUGCCCCACGUGUGACGCCGGCGUCACGGACCUGCCAGCACGAUGCCGGGCACCUGCGAUACCGCGUGGCACCACCCACGGCAGCCGGAGCGGGACCCGCCUCACCACACACCUCGUGGGCGCAGAAGGAGGCCCGGCCCCGGGGGUGGGGGGCGCCCGGCGUCCUCCUCAGUGUAGACGGCCUCUUCGGUGACGGAAAAUGGAGCCGACG